AAAGGCGAGAAGGCUGCAGGCUUGCAAACUCAGGGUUCCGGGCCAGAGGACUCCAUUUCCCAGAAUGCCUCUUAAAUCUUGCCCGGCCCUCUUGCUCCACCCCGAGGCAUUCUGGGAGCGUCUUGCGGGCAGCCUCUGCUCCUGGCGGACUCACAGUUGUGCUUCUUGGACCUGUUCCGGGCACACACAGAGGAAGUCUCCCCUCCUCAGGGCUGCCACCCCCCGGAAGGACCCCAGGGUGGCCCCAGCAGAGAACCUGCAGCCAGAGGAAUGGCCCCCGGGGCCCCGAGGCCCCCCUCCCAGAUCUUUCAGAGUGUCAACUGACUACAUUAAAUGACCAGUCAAUAAAUUAUUUAAAAUUAAGACAGAAGACAUUCUGCUUCUUGAGAAUUCUAAUCAUUACACUGUCAGUAUCUUUCUUUUGAAUGAGCUCAAUCUCCAAAAUAUCCUAUUUUUAAAAGGUGGAAAACCCCUUUUCCUCCUCAUACUUAUUCUUCUUUCCAUGUAACUAAAUGUAAAAUGACUGAGUAUAUUCUAGUAAUGAAUGGCACUCAUCAUAAAACAAAGACAACAUGUUUUGGCUAUGGCAUAUCGGAAGUGGUUCACCAAACUGUCCAUAUAACAUGAGACUGGGACUCUUCACUUAGGUUGAAUCAGACUCUGAUCCCCUAUAAACGCUAUGCUUUCAUCUAGAUAAGAGUAUUUCAGCCUUUUUGGGAAAUUAAGUAGAGAAUUCCCUUUUCACUGUUUUGCUACCUUCUCAGAAAGUCUUCAAGAAAAUGUUCUUACCGGACCAAUUCUUGACACUUGUGAUGAGGAAUUUCAGAUCACCUUCUCUCUUUCUCCUCCACAGAAUCUCAUACUUCACUCAGAGUAACAACACACUUCUCCGGGUUUCACUCUUCACAAUGUGAUUCUCACUUUAGACACAAAGUGCCUUUGCCAGUAUUCCACUGGGCUCUGAAUGACUGAUCUACAUUGGUGGCUCUGACACCCUUCAGGGUUCAGAGUUUGGGUAAAACCCUUUUGUGGUUCAGUUUCUUCCAGUCAGUGGAUCAGGGCUGUACCAGAUGAAAACUGGGCUCUAAAACUUGUGACUUUGUUGGUUUAGGGGUCAAUAACAUUCAAGGAUGUGGCUGUAGACUUCAGCCAGGAAGAGUGGUGCCAGUUGGAUCAUUCUCAGAAAGAGCUGUACCUGGAGGUCAUGCUGGAGAAUGUGCAGAAUCUACUCUCUGUGGGGGUAGAUUUUGAAGCGAAGGAGAUGUCUCCAAAGCUGAUUCUUUUUGUGGAAGGAUCUGACUCCCAAAGAUGCAUGAAUGGGAGUCUCUAUAACUUCCUUUUGAGAGAAAUCUGUGACUCUACUAUCAAGGCCAAUAAAAAUCCAAAGAGUGACUAUAAAUUUGAUGAAACUGCAGAGAAAUUCAGCCAGUAUUCAGGUCUAACUCCAUCUAUGAAAUUAACCUCAGGAAAUAACUGUUUUCCGGAUAGUGAAUAUAGGCAAUGCUUUCCUGAAGAAGUAAGACUUAUUCAGUCACAUGAGAAGCCUCCUGAAAUGCUCAUGUAUCAAGAUAACAUAGGAGGAAAGGGCUUUGGCUUGAGUUCAGACCUCAUUAGAUGUUCAAAAAGUAAAUGUGUACAAGUGGAUUCUGUGAGUGAUAAAGGUGGGAGACCUUCCUGUCAGAAUUCUGAGCUUCCUGCAUAUCAGAGAAUCCAUACUAAAGAGAAACCUUAUGAAUGUAAAGAGUGUGGAAAGGCUUUUACAGAGAGAGGAUCUCUUUCUGUACAUAAGAGAAUUCACACUGGAGAGAAACCUUAUAAAUGUAAAGAGUGUGGAAAGGCUUUUACACAGAGGGCCACUCUUGAUGCACAUCAGAGGAUCCACACUGGAGAGAAACCUUUUGAAUGUAAAGAGUGUGGAAAGGCUUUUACAAUGAAGUGCCAUCUUGUUGCACAUCAGAGAACCCACACUGGAGAGAAACCUUUUGAAUGUAAUCAGUGUGGAAAGGCUUUUACAAUGAAGGACUCUCUUACUAAACAUCAGAGAAUCCACAGUGGAGAGAAACCUUUUGAAUGUAAACAGUGUGGAAAGACUUUCACGGAGAAGGUCCAUCUUGCCAAACAUCUGAUAAUCCACACUGGGGAGAAACCUUAUGAAUGUAAAGACUGUGGAAAGGCUUUUAGAUCAAAGCACAGUGUUGCCACACAUCAGAUGAUCCACAGUGGAGAGAAACCUUAUGAAUGUAAAGACUGUGGAAAGGCUUUUAGAUCAAAGCACAGUCUUGCCAUACAUCAGAUGAUCCACACUGGAGAGAAACCUUAUGAAUGUAAAGACUGUGGAAAGGCUUUCACACAGAGGGGCAGUCUUGCUGCACAUCAGAGAAUCCACACUGGAGAGAAACCUUAUGAAUGUAAACAUUGUGGAAAGGCUUUUACAUGGAGGGAUUCUUUUGUAAUACAUCAGAGAAUCCACUCUUGAGAGAAAUUUUAUAAAUCUAAACACUAUGCACAUCAGAGAAUCCUCUGGGGAGAAACCUUAUGAAUGUAUACACUGUGGAGAGACUUUUACAUGGAACAUCUCUCUUGCUAAACAUGAGAGAAACCUUAUUGUAUGGGAUAAAAUCUUGUAUUAUUCUCCAGCCUUCAUUAUUUAGUAUUAGUAAUUUUUGAUUCGCAAAUUCCUAUAGAAAAUAGGGAAACUUAGUGUCCUUCAGAAGGGAGAUACUAAUGUCUCUUUAUGAAGAAUAGAGAAAUCCCCAUGCUGCUGUUUAUAUAUACAUAUACACCUUCAGUUCACUCUUUUCUAAUGUGGCCCCAACUUCCCCUUUUUUUUAAUUAUUUUGGAUUAAAUUGUUUUGAUUAUGAAAUCAUGGAGUGGAUCAGGUCAUGAGGCUAGAAUGGCAGCAGGGAAAAGGCAGCCAUAGAGUCAAGAAAUUAGGAGGCAGGGGUCAGGUCAGAUGCCCCUUGCACUGGCCCUGGAGUGCUCCUCUUGGAGGCCUAGGCAAAGUAGGAAGCCACAGUUGACUUCUGGGAGUUACUAGUAGGAGAAAGAAGUUUGAUAAACUGAGGGAAAGGCAGAUUUGCCUCUCUUCUCUUCCAGGUUUUGUUGCUUACUGGACUUUCCUAUGAGCAUGGCUAGGGGGCCCUAAUGGCAGUGACAGAAUAUCAAGCUCAAUAUGGCAACCUGGAAAGUAAUUUCUAUUUCUCUCUCCUCUUUUCUGAGACCCCAAGACACAAGGGCAACUGCGAGGCCACUGCUCGCCCAUCACCCUGGCAUGCCCAGUAUGGGCUUUUCUCCCCACCAUUGCCCCUAGUCCUGGGAGACCUUGUUCCCUUGCUUAGCAUCCCACAAGCCAGUGCCCUGGACCUACUUGCCAACAGUAAAGAUGUAAGCAAUUUAAAAAUCAAUAAGAUUAAAUCAAUAAAAUGAAGGAAAUAAAAAUAGAAAAUUAAGUUAAACAAAACUAAUAAAAUCCAGUAAAAUUACGUGUGUGUGUGUGUGUGUGUGUAAUUAAUUUGGUGCACCAGUUGAGGAGUCUGUCAUUUCAAAAUGUGUUGACUUGCAUGGACUUCUUAUUUUGCCCUAACCUCAAAGCCCAGCUUUGCUGCCUUCUAAAAUAAACUUUAAAAAAGUUGUAUCUACAUUUUUUAUUAGAGUAUUGGAAAUGUU
Molecule: non-coding RNA, 3667 nt
Organism: Monodelphis domestica (gray short-tailed opossum)
Lineage: Eukaryota; Metazoa; Chordata; Mammalia; Didelphimorphia; Didelphidae
Source: RefSeq, a predicted model, not a curated record